RNAcentral lists this ribosomal RNA (1362 nucleotides) under Salmonella enterica subsp. enterica serovar Cerro str. CFSAN001589. Its description in RNAcentral is "bacterial LSU rRNA". It matches the Rfam family "Bacterial large subunit ribosomal RNA", at positions 116 to 1524 of the family's 2925-position model. Lineage: Bacteria; Pseudomonadati; Pseudomonadota; Gammaproteobacteria; Enterobacterales; Enterobacteriaceae. The record is from RNAcentral.
GAAUGGGGAAACCCAGUGUGACUCGUCACACUAUCAUUAACUGAAUCCAUAGGUUAAUGAGGCGAACCGGGGGAACUGAAACAUCUAAGUACCCCGAGGAAAAGAAAUCAACCGAGAUUCCCCCAGUAGCGGCGAGCGAACGGGGAGGAGCCCAGAGCCUGAAUCAGCAUGUGUGUUAGUGGAAGCGUCUGGAAAGGCGCGCGAUACAGGGUGACAGCCCCGUACACAAAAGCGCAUGUGCUGUGAGCUCGAUGAGUAGGGCGGGACACGUGGUAUCCUGUCUGAAUAUGGGGGGACCAUCCUCCAAGGCUAAAUACUCCUGACUGACCGAUAGUGAACCAGUACCGUGAGGGAAAGGCGAAAAGAACCCCGGCGAGGGGAGUGAAAAAGAACCUGAAACCGUGUACGUACAAGCAGUGGGAGCACCCUUUUGGGUGUGACUGCGUACCUUUUGUAUAAUGGGUCAGCGACUUAUAUUCUGUAGCAAGGUUAACCGAAUAGGGGAGCCGUAGGGAAACCGAGUCUUAAUUGGGCGUUAAGUUGCAGGGUAUAGACCCGAAACCCGGUGAUCUAGCCAUGGGCAGGUUGAAGGUUGGGUAACACUAACUGGAGGACCGAACCGACUAAUGUUGAAAAAUUAGCGGAUGACCUGUGGCUGGGGGUGAAAGGCCAAUCAAACCGGGAGAUAGCUGGUUCUCCCCGAAAGCUAUUUAGGUAGCGCCUCGUGAAUUCAUCUCCGGGGGUAGAGCACUGUUUCGGCUAGGGGGCCAUCCCGGCUUACCAACCCGAUGCAAACUGCGAAUACCGGAGAAUGUUAUCACGGGAGACACACGGCGGGUGCUAACGUCCGUCGUGAAGAGGGAAACAACCCAGACCGCCAGCUAAGGUCCCAAAGUCAUGGUUAAGUGGGAAACGAUGUGGGAAGGCCCAGACAGCCAGGAUGUUGGCUUAGAAGCAGCCAUCAUUUAAAGAAAGCGUAAUAGCUCACUGGUCGAGUCGGCCUGCGCGGAAGAUGUAACGGGGCUAAACCAUGCACCGAAGCUGCGGCAGCGACACUAUGUGUUGUUGGGUAGGGGAGCGUUCUGUAAGCCUGUGAAGGUGUGCUGUGAGGCAUGCUGGAGGUAUCAGAAGUGCGAAUGCUGACAUAAGUAACGAUAAAGCGGGUGAAAAGCCCGCUCGCCGGAAGACCAAGGGUUCCUGUCCAACGUUAAUCGGGGCAGGGUGAGUCGACCCCUAAGGCGAGGCCGAAAGGCGUAGUCGAUGGGAAACGGGUUAAUAUUCCCGUACUUGGUGUUACUGCGAAGGGGGGACGGAGAAGGCUAUGUUGGCCGGGCGACGGUUGUCCCGGUUUAAGCGUGUAGG